UAACACAUGCAAGUCGAGGGGCAGCAUGGUCUUAGCUUGCUAAGGCCGAUGGCGACCGGCGCACGGGUGAGUAACACGUAUCCAACCUGCCGUCUACUCUUGGACAGCCUUCUGAAAGGAAGAUUAAUACAAGAUGGCAUCAUGAGUCCGCAUGUUCACAUGAUUAAAGGUAUUCCGGUAGACGAUGGGGAUGCGUUCCAUUAGAUAGUAGGCGGGGUAACGGCCCACCUAGUCUUCGAUGGAUAGGGGUUCUGAGAGGAAGGUCCCCCACAUUGGAACUGAGACACGGUCCAAACUCCUACGGGAGGCAGCAAUGAGGAAUAUUGGUCAAUGGGCGAGAGCCUGAACCAGCCAAGUAGCGUGAAGGAUGACUGCCCUAUGGGUUGUAAACUUCUUUUAUAAAGGAAUAAAGUCGGGUAUGCAUACCCGUUUGCAUGUACUUUAUGAAUAAGGAUCGGCUAACUCCGUGCCAGCAGCCGCGGUAAUACGGAGGAUUCGAGCGUUAUCCGGAUUUAUUGGGUUUAAAGGGAGCGUAGAUGGAUGUUUAAGUCAGUUGUGAAAGUUUGCGGCUCAACCGUAAAAUUGCAGUUGAUACUGGAUAUCUUGAGUGCAGUUGAGGCAGGCGGAAUUCGUGGUGUAGCGGUGAAAUGCUUAGAUAUCACGAAGAACUCCGAUUGCGAAG
RNAcentral lists this ribosomal RNA (682 nucleotides) under uncultured Bacteroidales bacterium. RNAcentral's name for it is "bacterial SSU rRNA". It matches the Rfam family "Bacterial small subunit ribosomal RNA", at positions 49 to 720 of the family's 1533-position model. The record is from RNAcentral. Lineage: Bacteria; Pseudomonadati; Bacteroidota; Bacteroidia; Bacteroidales.